This 466-nucleotide ribosomal RNA is filed under the name uncultured bacterium. RNAcentral's name for it is "bacterial SSU rRNA". It matches the Rfam family "Bacterial small subunit ribosomal RNA", at positions 28 to 507 of the family's 1533-position model. The record is from RNAcentral.
GACGAACGCUGGCGGCGCGCCUAACACAUGCAAGUCGAACGGAGCUUAGAGAGUUUGCUUUUUAAGCUUAGUGGCGAACGGGUGAGUAACGCGUGAGUAACCUGCCCUAGAGUGGGGACAACAGUUGGAAACGACUGCUAAUACCGCAUAAGCCCACGGUACCGCAUGGUACUGAGGGAAAAGGAUUUAUUCGCUUUAGGAUGGACUCGCGUCCAAUUAGCUAGUUGGUGAGGUAACGGCCCACCAAGGCGACGAUUGGUAGCCGGACUGAGAGGUUGAACGGCCACAUUUGGGACUGAGGCACGGCCCAGACUCCUACGGGAGGCAGCAGUGGGGAAUAUUGCACAAUGGAGGAAACUCUGAUGCAGCGACGCCGCGUGAGUGAAGAAGUAAUUCGUUAUGUAAAGCUCUAUCAGCAGGGAAGAUAGUGACGGUACCUGACUAAGAAGCUCCGGCUAAAUACGUG